Molecule: long non-coding RNA, 1512 nt
Organism: Gallus gallus (chicken)
Lineage: Eukaryota; Metazoa; Chordata; Aves; Galliformes; Phasianidae
Source: Ensembl
AUAUUUGACUUACACUUAAAUGUAUGAAAAGCAAAUCGGUGUCUUUUGCAACUUGAGCAACGCGGUGACUGCCAGCAGCGUUGUACGUUUUGCUUUUACAAGAGCAGCCCUGCAAUUCGGGGUGUUAUUUCUUCGUUUUGAGCCACGCCGUUUCCUGCUGGUCUUUCAAAGAGGGUAAUGCCGAGUUUGUAACACAUCUGAUUGCUAUGGCCAAUUCCAGCUAAUGGCAAUAAUGCUGUGCUCAGGAACUGGACCUGCUCGGGGUUGCAACACCGUAGGAGCAGAUGUUGGCUUUUUGACUUGAUGUGCAGAUGUCAUUAGAAGGAAGUAUGGGCACAAUUUCACUGCACAGGAUUCACUUCAGACAAUGAAAAGAAGAGUCAGCUGAAAUGACAAAGUAGCAGAAGUCUCUUUUCCACAUACUGAAAUGGCUGAAUAAGCUACACAGAGCAGAAAUGACUUUCCUGCCUGCGAUUUGCAGAGUCCCAGGACAGCAGCUCACACCUGGGGGCGACAGAGCUGUGGCAGUCUGUCAUCUUUGAGCUAUUUUCUCUAUGCACCGAGAAGGAGAGCGGUGAUGCUGCCUUCUGUCUAUGACAGGAAUUGUUUGAAUUAUUUACAAUGAACGGAAAGACAGCUGGGGGGAGAGGAUGGAGAGGCUGGUGCAAUUCUAUAGACAUUGAUCCUGCCGGGAAAAAGAGCAAACUGACUUGCAAUACAAAUGGCGGUGUUGCAAAUGUGAAAGGAAGACCAUUUUCCAAUGUCACUUUCACAAGCUAAAAGAAGUCUCCAUACGUAUUAUGCAUAAGUGAAUGCACAUAGGUGUCCCAGAAGUUCAAGAUGGUUCCUUGUUUUCUUCGUUUCCUACUUAGUUCUCUUUCCAAUGGAAGCUGUGCAGUGGACUUUGAUCUUUUGCAAGAUUUCUCUUCCUGAAGAAAGGUGCCGGUUUAUUACCAAACCGCUUGUAAGAACAGAUCAAAGGCAGAGGAAGAGUGGGGGCUGCAGUCUGGCCAGCUGCUGUGAUGUUCUACAGAAAAUCAAGGACGAUAUCCACAGGACCUGCGAUGUAUCAAGCCAGCUCUUAGUAACAGAGGAAGGCCAAGAGUAGUUGACAAUAAGACUGUAAAGAAACAGUUAUGCUGGUGACACUUCUUAUAUGAGGACUGCCUUCCUAUUUUUCCACAAACGUAUUCCUGUUAUACAGUUUUUUGUUCUUUUAAUUAAGCACUGCAGGAGAAAAUAAUGGGAUCUUAAAGCCUCAUGUAUUUUGGAAAAGGUAGUAGUAAAUUGUACAGUUUUGACCUUUUCAGCUUUUUGUAAUUUGAUUGGCUGUCUGUUCUUUUUCCUCCACUAUUUACAGCUGCAGUGAACUGUGCAGAAGGGGUAGGAUGGCUAGCCAGCUCAAAUGCAGAAUAUUUAAAAGGUUAAAAUGUGCAACAUACUGGUGCCUUCCACAGAGUGUAUGGGCAUUAUAAAUUUCGUUGCGUUGAUCACAUAAAGGAUUGAGAAAUU